RNAcentral lists this ribosomal RNA (254 nucleotides) under uncultured bacterium. Its description in RNAcentral is "partial 16S ribosomal RNA". It matches the Rfam family "Bacterial small subunit ribosomal RNA", at positions 524 to 776 of the family's 1533-position model. The record is from RNAcentral.
UACGGAGGGCGCGAGCGUUGUCCGGAAUCACUGGGCGUAAAGGGCGCGUAGGCGGCCCUGGUAAGUCUGCGGUGAAAGCCCGGGGCUCAACCCCGGGUCGGCCGCGGGUACUGCCGGGCUGGAGUGCCGUAGGGGCAGGCGGAAUUCCGGGUGUAGCGGUGGAAUGCGUAGAGAUCCGGAAGAACACCGGUGGCGAAGGCGGCUUGCUGGGCGGCGACUGACGCUGAGGCGCGACAGCGUGGGGAGCAAACAGG